GACGAACGCUAGCUACAGGCUUAACACAUGCAAGUCGAGGGGAAACGACAUCGAAAGCUUGCUUUUGAUGGGCGUCGACCGGCGCACGGGUGAGUAACGCUUAUCCAACCUGCCCACCACUUGGGGAUAACCUUGCGAAAGUAAGACUAAUACCCAAUGAUAUCUCUAGAAGGCAUCAGAAAGAGAUUAAAGAUUUAUCGGUGAUGGAUGGGGAUGCGUCUGAUUAGCUUGUUGGCGGGGUAACGGCCCACCAAGGCUACGAUCAGUAGGGGUUCUGAGAGGAAGGUCCCCCACAUUGGAACUGAGACACGGUCCAAACUCCUACGGGAGGCAGCAGUGAGGAAUAUUGGUCAAUGGACGAGAGUCUGAACCAGCCAAGUAGCGUGCAGGAUGACGGCCCUAUGGGUUGUAAACUGCUUUUAUAAGGGAAUAAAGUGAGUCUCGUGAGACUUUUUGCAUGUACCUUAUGAAUAAGAACCGGCUAAUUCCGUGCCAGCCGCCGCCGUAA
RNAcentral lists this ribosomal RNA (508 nucleotides) under uncultured bacterium. Its description in RNAcentral is "partial 16S ribosomal RNA". It matches the Rfam family "Bacterial small subunit ribosomal RNA", at positions 28 to 523 of the family's 1533-position model. The record is from RNAcentral.